This 657-nucleotide long non-coding RNA is filed under the name Vulpes vulpes (red fox). Its description in RNAcentral is "lncRNA (ENSVVUG00000009388.1)". Lineage: Eukaryota; Metazoa; Chordata; Mammalia; Carnivora; Canidae. The record is from RNAcentral.
UUUUUUUAAUCUUUUCUUUGAUAAACACUCGGAAUCUCAUCCUUUCACCAGCUUGAGGCCAAAGAAGAAAGAAUUAAAAAGAAUGUCCUGGAAACUAAGAAAACACUGAGAGCAGGAAGGAAACCGAGACAGCCACAGCCAUACUGAAUUUCUCAUAAGUGUUCGGAGGAGCUGCUGACCAUGCACAGGUGCAGCCCAAGUCACCAGAGCUCAUAAAGGAUGUGCAUGCUGUCACGUCUACGUGAAGUAUUUCCAUGACCUGACCAUGGACAGAGGGAGGGACUGAGCUAGAGGAAGCUUCAUCAAGGAGCCAUGCUCCCACACAUUCUUGGAUUUCCAAAGCCACGGUGGCAUCGACCAGGAGAGGAGCUUUUCUGAAGUCCAGGAAGCUGUUGCGAGGUGACAUCAUAGCCCCCAAGGCCCACUGAGCAGAAUCUGGCACCAAGUGAUGCUUCUAUCUGCCCAUCAUCUUACCCCUUAGACUCUGCCACCCAGUUGUAGAAGAUUCUGUUUGAGUGUGAAGAUAGAGUCAUGCAUCCUUUCUUCCUCCCAGAUCACCUAGGACUGGAGGGUGAGUGGUCACUGCAGCAUGCUCUAAUUCGAAAGUGCUAGAAGAUCAAAGAAGGAGGAGGAGAUCAACACAAAUUAAAACCAAAU